UAUCAGUGCAUACAACUACUUUCAGCUUAAGGCCAGAAAUUUUUAAUUGCUUCACGAUCGAAUGCAAGUGCUGACAACGUGGUUACAAGUAAAUAUAUAUAUAAAGGUAAAAUGUUUAUUUCAUAACGAUUGUGCAUGACCGUUUCCGAUUCCUUUUAAGUCUUAAAAAAAAUAUUUAUUGCAAUUGACGGUGUUCUGACCGUUACUUCCCACACACCUGUAUUUACAUUCGUGGAACCCUUGGGCAUCGUUCUUAUCAAGUGAACAUAGAAAGGGAAAAUCUUUCUUACACGGAGAUUGUGCACGAACUAUCCCGCUGUCCGUAGAAACCAUUAAAUGGAAUAUUUACUACACUUGUCAUUUUCCUGACCAGUCUUCCGCACACACCGAUAUUUACUUUCACUGAACUCUCAGGCCUCAUUAUCAUCAUCCGUUAAUUUGUUCGCCAUCCUUGUCUUCCUUAUCCUUCAAUACCAUAUGACUGGCGUCCGGGGCUCCUAUGUAUACUCAAAACCAAUACGAUUGGUUCUAGGAGUAAAACAUACCUGUAUGCACUCCCUAUUGGUAACAUUAGGUGAACAUAGUCUAGAGACUAUAUAAAUGACACCACUCAAAUUGCUCAGAAUCAGUUACUCAAAGGCCUCAGAAAUACAUCACUAUGGAUCUUACUGUUGAAUUUUAUAAUUCUUUUGAGGCUGAUAAGACCCUCGUUAACCAACCUUUCGGUAUAAAAGUUAAAGUUAUCGGGUCAGAUGAAAUCGAUGACCAGGACUCCGAUGUGGAAAUUAUUGAAGAUUCUGAGCCGGACUGCGCAUUGGAUCUCGACGAUGAAGACACCGUGGACCGAUACCUACGAGAAGUAUUUGAUCCACCCUCAUCGUCAACUCAAACCACUCCAUCAGAAUUGGAUUCCUUAGGCUUUGAAGACUUUCCUAUGGGUAAGGAUACCCAGGAAGUUCUAAGAAAACUUAUUCUACUUGAACAAAGCGAAGAGCAAUAUAAGAAUAUGCAGUGUGCUCAAACGUUUGAUUUGGAUGAGUCUGAGCCUAGCCUGUUUCCAAAUGAUGAUCACAUUUUUAAUGAGAUAAUUGAAAAUGAACCGCAGACAAAAUAUCAACAACUUAUGGAUGACGGACAGGAUAGUGUUUUAAUGGAUGUUCUCUUAAGAUUAGAUUCCUAAUAUUUGUUUACUUGUCUUAAAACAUUAUGAAAUAAAAAUACGUUAUAUAUUCAAUAUUUAAAGUUCUUGUUCUUUAUUAGAUAUUUCUCUUUCGUUUUAUUUAUACUUUUUAAUUCAGCAUCGUGCAUAAAUAUCAUGUGCAUAUUAAAAUCGUCUCGCAGCCAAAAUUUCCGAACAUCAGUACAGAAAUAACAGUAGUAAUAAAAGGACUUUGAUUUUGUAUAGCUAAAGUUGUGUACUUUUAAGGUAUGAACUUUUAGACUGUUGCGCGUAGUAAAAGAUUUUGAUUCCGAGCAUAACUCACAAUGAAACUUGCCCAUUUUGAUGUGAAACUGAACUGAGUUUUUUUUAAAAAAAUACAUCUAUUUUAAAGGGUUUUAAAUGAAAAAUUGUAUAUUAUAUACUUUAAUACAUAAUAAUAAUAAUGUUGUGGUACACCUGUAUGUAAUAUAUACAUAUAUAUAGUGUGUACAUGAAAGAGUGAAAUAGAUAUAUUUCUUCAUGUAUAAAAGACCAUGUAAUUCGUGUAACAAAUUAGUAUUCAACGACUAGUGACUAGAACACCACGACUCCAAUCUCUAACCAAUCAAAAAUGGAUUUCUUAGAGACCCUAAAUGAAUCAAAACCUGUUAUUGGUUAUACGAAAAUUGAAGAUCUAUGUAUUGGGUUUGAUUAUAAGAUCACCGGAUGUAAAUUAAGGAAAACACCUUAUGGAACUAAAAUAUGCCUUUAUUUAGCCAAUAAGGAAAAUGAGGAUAUUUGGAUAUUUCUACCAAAAAGUUAUGUAAACAAAUUUUCUACUAAGACACCAUUUAAGAAAUUGACUGAGAACGGAAUUUCUCAUAUGGUAUAUAAAGGAAAGGAUCCCAAUAGAUAUAGCUGUGCUCAAAUUGAAUUUAUCAGUAAAUAAAUGAAGUAAAUAAAUGAAGUAAAUAAGAAAUUCCCCUUAUAAAAGAUUGAAUUUCUUAUUCCAAAAUCAGUCUUAGUUCAACCUUAACAAGUUACAAGUCUUACAAAAAUGCACGCUAAACAAAUUGAAGUCUUCUUGAUGCAGUUUGAAGACAUGUUAUUCGAGCAACACCUCAGGAGGCUUGAAUAUUUAAAAGCCACCCUUGAGGACUUAGCGGAAAAGGAGUUAAUACAUUCAAAGUUUGGAUUCCACUACAAACUUUGUCCUUGGAGUGAUGAAGAUGCUACAUCUGGACCAGACGAGGCCCUUAAUAUUAUGCUUAAAUAUUAUAAGUUAAACCAGAGAUUGUAUCGCUCAGAAACAUUAAAUAAACUCAACUAAUAAUAAAAAAAAA
RNA transcript from Drosophila eugracilis, 2484 nucleotides. RefSeq lists it as uncharacterized. The transcript has 3 exons. The record is from RefSeq and is a predicted model, not a curated record. NCBI's taxonomy places the organism in Eukaryota, Metazoa, Arthropoda, Insecta, Diptera, Drosophilidae.